GAUGAAGAACGCAGCGAAAUGCGAUAUGUAGUGUGAAUUGCAGAAUUCAGUGAAUCAUCGAAUCUUUGAACGCACAUUGCGCUCUCUGGUAUUCCGGGGAGCAUGCUCGUUUCAGAAUCAUCAACAUUCUUCAAAUUGAGAUGUGUUGUAUGACCCUUGUGGAAGUACACGCGUCUCGCUUUUGAAUGUGGACCGCUUUUGCCUAGGCAAAUGGUCUGGAAAUGAUUUUGUUUGCGCUCACCUUUUCCGGUAGCCCUUCUCAAAGGCAACAGAUGCAUAAUCUCAAACCCUUGAGGGGAGGCGUUCCACCGAUUAGGGGAAACAGCCAAGCAACCACACCAACUCUACCUUUCAGUGUACUCUUGGGUCACUGAUCGAGAACUUGGUCUGAAAUCGAGCAAGAAAACCCGCUGAACUUAAGCAUAUCAAUAAGCGGAGGA
RNAcentral lists this unclassified non-coding RNA (440 nucleotides) under soil metagenome. RNAcentral describes it as "partial contains 5.8S ribosomal RNA, internal transcribed spacer 2, and large subunit ribosomal RNA". The stretch from base 1 to 120 matches the Rfam family "5.8S ribosomal RNA", at positions 35 to 154 of the family's 154-position model. The record is from RNAcentral.